Molecule: ribosomal RNA, 497 nt
Filed under: uncultured bacterium
Lineage: Bacteria
Description: partial 16S ribosomal RNA
Rfam family: Bacterial small subunit ribosomal RNA
Source: RNAcentral
GAUGAACGCUGGCGGCGUGCCUAAUACAUGCAAGUCGAGCGAACGGACGAGAAGCUUGCUUCUCUGAUGUUAGCGGCGGACGGGUGAGUAACACGUGGAUAACCUCCCUAUAAUACUGGGAUAACUUCGGGAAACCGGAGCUAAUACCGGAUGAUCUUUUGAACCGCAUUGUUCAAAAGUGAAAGACGGUCUUGCUGUCACUUAUAGAUGGAUCUGCGCUGCAUUAGCUAGUUGGUAAGGUAACGGCUUACCAAGGCAACGAUGCAUAGCCGACCUGAGAGGGUGAUCGGCCACACGGGAGCUGAGACACGGUCCAGACUCCUACGGGAGGCAGCAGUAGGGAAUCUUCCGCAAAGGGCGAAAGCCUGACGGAGCAACGCCGCGUGAGUGAUGAAGGUCUUCGGAUCGUAAAACUCUGUUAUUAGGGAAGAACAUAUGUGUAAGUAACUGUGCACAUCUUGACGGUACCUAAUCAGAAAGCCACGGCUAACUACGUG